AUUUUGUUAAAAAAAGAUUUGACAUUACUUAACAAUACAUGAUAUACUAAUAAAGUAGUUCAAAUUACUAAUAAUAUUACCGCGGGAUGGAGCAGUUCGG
Molecule: non-coding RNA, 100 nt
Filed under: Staphylococcus carnosus subsp. carnosus TM300
Lineage: Bacteria; Bacillati; Bacillota; Bacilli; Caryophanales; Staphylococcaceae
Description: Staphylococcus sRNA 774
Rfam family: Staphylococcus sRNA 774
About the family: Northern blot transcript confirmed in exponentially growing and stationary cells in three cultivation media. Trans-encoded.
Source: Rfam by way of RNAcentral